Molecule: ribosomal RNA, 468 nt
Filed under: uncultured bacterium
Lineage: Bacteria
Description: partial 16S ribosomal RNA
Rfam family: Bacterial small subunit ribosomal RNA
Source: RNAcentral
GACGAACGCUGGCGGCGUGCUUAACACAUGCAAGUCGAACGGAAAGGCCCUGCUUUUGUGAGGUGCUCGAGUGGCGAACGGGUGAGUAACACGUGAGUAACCUGCCCUUGACUUUGGGAUAACUUCAGGAAACUGGGGCUAAUACCGGAUAGGAGCUCCUGCUGCAUGGUGGGGGUUGGAAAGUUUCGGCGGUUGGGGAUGGACUCGCGGCUUAUCAGCUUGUUGGUGGGGUAGUGGCUUACCAAGGCUUUGACGGGUAGCCGGCCUGAGAGGAUGACCGGCCACAUUGGGACUGAGAUACGGCCCAGACUCCUACGGGAGGCAGCAGUGGGGAAUAUUGCACAAUGGGCGGAAGCCUGAUGCAGCAACGCCGCGUGCGGGAUGACGGCCUUCGGGUUGUAAACCGCUUUCGCCUGUGACGAAGCGUGAGUGACGGUAAUGGGUAAAGAAGCACCGGCUAACUACGUG